UGGGGAAUUUUGGACAAUGGGCGAAGGCCUGAUCCAGCAAUGCCGCGUGUGUGAAGAAGGCCUUCGGGUUGUAAAGCACUUUUGUCCGGAAAGAAAUCCUUGGCUCUAAUACAGUCGGGGGAUGACGGUACCGGAAGAAUAAGCACCGGCUAACUACGUGCCAGCAGCCGCGGUAAUACGUAGGGUGCAAGCGUUAAUCGGAAUUACUGGGCGUAAAGCGUGCGCAGGCGGUUUGCUAAGACCGAUGUGAAAUCCCCGGGCUCAACCUGGGAACUGCAUUGGUGACUGGCAGGCUAGAGUAUGGCAGAGGGGGGUAGAAUUCCACGUGUAGCAGUGAAAUGCGUAGAGAUGUGGAGGAAUACCGAUGGCGAAGGCAGCCCCCUGGGCCAAUACUGACGCUCAUGCACGAAAGCGUGGGGAGCAAACAGGAUUAGAUACCCUGGUAGUCCACGCCCUAAACGAUGUCAACUAGUUGUUGGGGAUUCAUUUCCUUAGUAACGUAGCUAACGCGUGAAGUUGACCGCCUGGGGAGUACGGUCGCAAGAUUAAAACUCAAAGGAAUUGAC
RNAcentral lists this ribosomal RNA (566 nucleotides) under uncultured bacterium. RNAcentral describes it as "partial 16S ribosomal RNA". It matches the Rfam family "Bacterial small subunit ribosomal RNA", at positions 355 to 914 of the family's 1533-position model. The record is from RNAcentral.